RNAcentral lists this long non-coding RNA (3383 nucleotides) under Xyrichtys novacula (pearly razorfish). The record is from RNAcentral. Lineage: Eukaryota; Metazoa; Chordata; Actinopteri; Labriformes; Labridae.
GGGCCCGAGCGUAGCUGCUAAGCAGCUGCGAGAGCCCUCUUGUUCCUGUAGUUUCCUUCUUUUGUUAUUAGGGCCCGAGCGUAGCUGCUAAGCAGCUGCGAGAGCCCUCUUGUUCCUGUAGUUUCCUUCUUUUGUUAUUAUUAUUAUUAUUUUUCCUCCCCUUUGAACUGGAAAAUGGCCCACUUCCCACUGGCGAAAACUCAUGAAAUUUGGCAGGACGACCGGGCCUGGUGAAAAAUUUGAUAUUCCGAAGUCGCCCAAACAAGAAAAUGCAAAAUGGCUCCAUAGCGCCCCCUAAGGUGAAAAUUCACACUAUUCACUGUCACGCCGGUACGCUUUGUCAAAAUGACACAAAAAUUGACACACACAUGUAUCUCAAUAAGAUCUACAAAAAAGUCAGUGCGGGCGUAUCUGUCAAAUGUACGGUUAAAGGGUUAUUUUGCAUUUUUUGCCGAUCCGCACACAUUGGAAUUUCGCUAACUCCUCCGAAGGCUUUCGUUCCACCGGCACCACAUUUGCUCAGGCCAAUCUACACCCCAUGGCCAUUAAAAGUUAUCAAAAUCAUGACGCUGCACCCCAAGGUUUAGGUUCUAGGGGGCGCCAAAGAUAACACUAAAAUCCACAUAUUUAAAAGUCUUAUAACUUUUUAUUUUUGUCCUCACUGGCCUCCAAGUUUUCUAGGAUGAUGCAAUGUCCAGCCAUCAACACAUUUGUGAAGGAAUUUUUACUCCCCAAAAGAGCGCCCCCCCAUGGCAGGAGAAAAAAGUCCAUUUUUUCUUGUCCCGUAAGGUGAAAAUUCACAUUGUUGAGUGUGACACCUGUACGCUUUGUCAUAUUGACACAAAAUUUGACAAUCACGUGUAUCUCAAUAAGAUCUACGAAAAAGUCAAUGGGUGCGUAUCUGUCAAAUGUACGGUUAGAGGGCUAUUUUGCAUUUUUUGCCGAUUCGCACACAUUGGAAUGUGGCUAACUCCUCCUAAGGCUUUCGUUCCACCGGCACCACAUUUGCUCAGGCCAAUCUACACCCCAUGGCCAUUCAAAGUUGUAAAAAUCAUGACGCUGCACCCCACGGUUUAUGUUCUAGGGGGCGCCAAAGAUGACCAAAAAAUCCACAUUCUUAAAAGAAUCCACAUUCCCCCCCCCCCCCAUGGCAGGAGAAAAAGUCAAGUUUUUCCUGCCCAUCGCUCAAUGGCUCAAUCGCAUCGCUCUCCAGGCAACACCGUAACGAGGAGCAACCUGCCAUUUGGAUAUAUCCCAGCUGUGUUUGUGCCCUCACUCAUGGUCCAGACUUUUUUCAAAUAGGACAUGAAGUUUGUCUGCAGCGAGUGUUUUGGUAGAAACUGCGCCUCCCAUUCAUUAUAAUGGGAAAUGACCACAGACAAGUGCCCACACCAUCUUUGGACCUUGAGUGUGACGCGAUCGGGAGGGGGAGGCGGUCGCGCUGGGGGCAGCACGACGCGGCUCGGGCCCGACAGUGCCCCACCGGGGCCCUAGUUAGGGCCCGAGCCAGCUGCAGAGCAGCCGGGCGUAGAGCCCUAUUAUUCCUGUAUAGGUUUUUCUUUCUUCUUUCUUUCUUUCUUUCUUUCUUCUUAUUUUUCCUCCCCUUUGAAGGGGAAAAUGGCCCACUUCCCACUGGCGAAAACUCAUGAAAUUUGGCAGGACGACCGGGCCUGGUGAAAAAUUCGAUAUUCUGAAGUCGCCCAAACAAGAAAAUGCAAAAUGGCUCAAUAGCGCCCCCAAAGGUGAAAAUUCACACUAUUGACUGUCACGCCUGUACGCUUUGUCAUAUUGACACAAAAAUUGACACACACAUGUAUCUCAAUAAGAUCUACAAAAAAGUCAGUGCGGGCGUAUCUGUCAAAUGUACAGUUAAAGGGUUAUUUCGCAUUUUUUGCCGUUCCGCACACAUUGGAAUUUCGCUAACUCCUCCGAAGGCUUUCGUUCCACCAGCACUACAUUUGCUCAGGCCAAUCUACACCCCAUGGCCAUUGAAAGUUGUACAAAUCAUGACGCUGCACCCCACGGUUUACGUUCUAGGGGGCGCCAAAGAUAACCCACAAAUCCACAUUCUUAAAAAUCUUAUAACUUUUUAUUUUUGUCCUCAUUGGCCUCCAAGUUUUCUAGGAUGAUGCAAUGUCCAGCCAUCAACACAUUUGUGAAGGAAUUUUUACUCCCCAAAACAGCGCCCCCCCCAUGGCAGGACAAAAAAGGCCAUUAGGGCCCGAGCGUAGCUGCUAAGCAGCUGCGAGAGCCCUCUUGUUCCUGCAUGUUUCCUUCUUUUGUUAUUAUUAGGGCCCGAGCCAGCUGCAGAGCAGCCGGGCGUAGGCCCUAUUAUUCCCCAAGUGGUUUUUCUUUGUUUCUUUCUUUCUUUUUUCUUUUUCCUCCCCUUUGAACUGGAAAAUGGCCCACUUCCCACUGGCGAAAACUCAUGAAAUUUGGCAGGACGACCGGGCCUGGUGAAAAAUUUGAUAUUCCGAAGUCGCCCAAACAAGAAAAUGCAAAAUGGCUCCAUAGCGCCCCCUAAGGUGAAAAUUCACACUAUUGACUGUCACGCCUGUACGCUUUGUCAAAAUGACACAAAAAUUGACACACACAUGUAUCUCAAUAAGAUCUACAAAAAAGUCAGUGCGGGCGUAUCUGUCAAAUGUACGGUUAAAGGGUUAUUUCGCAUUUUUUGCCGAUCCGCACACAUUGGAAUUUCGCUAACUCCUCCGAAGGCUUUCGUUCCACCGGCACCACAUUUGCUCAGGCCAAUCUACACCCCAUGGCCAUUAAAAGUUAUCAAAAUCAUGACGCUGCACCCCAAGGUUUAGGUUCUAGGGGGCGCCAAAGAUAACACUAAAAUCCACAUAUUUAAAAGUCUUAUAACUUUUUAUUUUUGUCCUCACUGGCCUCCAAGUUUUCUAGGAUGAUGCAAUGUCCAGCCAUCAACACAUUUGUGAAGGAAUUUUUACUCCCCAAAAGAGCGCCCCCCCAUGGCAGGAGAAAAAAGUCAAUUUUUUCUUGUCCCCUAAGGUGAAAAUACACAUUGUUGAGUGUCACGCCUAUACGCUUUGUCAAAAUGACACAAAAAUUGACACACACAUGUAACUCAAUAAGAUCUACAAAAAAGUCAAAGAGCGCGUAUCUGUCAAAUGUACAGUUAAAGGGUUAUUCCGCAUUUUUUGCCGAUACGCACACAUUGGAAUUUUGCUAACUCCUCCGAAGGCUUUCGUUCCACCGGCACCACAUUUGGUCAGGCCAAUCUACACCCCAUGGCCAUUAAAAGUUAUUCAAAUCAUGAUGCUGCACCCCAAGGUUUAGGUUCUAGGGGGCGCCAAAAAUAACCCAAAAAUCCACAUUCUUAAAUGUUUUAUAACUUUUUAUUUUUGUCCUCACUGGCC